GGUACUUCGAGAAGAAGCACGCGCAAGGAAUAAAUUAGAAGAUUAAGAAUAAAUUCCAUCCCAACCGUGCAACGUACACCGAUAGUUUUUGCGUCACUGCAACUAUACGUAUUAUCAGAGUUGUGGAGCAAAAGGUCUAAGAAACAACGAUUCUCUGCUUUUACAAGCACUCAGUUCACAGCUCCAUUUUCACGAGAAAACAAAGAGGAAAUGGGACGAAGGACUAAGGACGAUAGUCUUACAACGUGCUCGUAAAAGUCGUACCGAGGCCGGAAGCACUCUCCUACUCUUGACAGAUAUAUCGCCUACAUGCUCAAGUUUAAUGGCGGUUACUUAUUCACAUGGCCGAAAGAGCGUUACUUUCACGAGAAGUGUUGUAAAAAUUGCUGAAAACAUUAAUUCAAGAUUUGCAGAAGGUUGUGUAAAUGUUGAAAUGAUCCAACGUUGGUUCGUAAAAUACAAGACGAGUGAUUAUCAAUCGGAAAAUAAACCAG
RNAcentral lists this unclassified non-coding RNA (494 nucleotides) under Bombus terrestris (buff-tailed bumblebee). RNAcentral's name for it is "misc RNA ENSBTSG00005020098.1". The record is from RNAcentral. Lineage: Eukaryota; Metazoa; Arthropoda; Insecta; Hymenoptera; Apidae.